Molecule: non-coding RNA, 25 nt
Filed under: Cricetulus griseus (Chinese hamster)
Lineage: Eukaryota; Metazoa; Chordata; Mammalia; Rodentia; Cricetidae
Source: RNAcentral
AUUUUUGGAUACUAAUAUGACGUGG